AGAACGAACGCUGGCGGCAGGCCUCAAACAUGCAAGUCUAGGGGGUGUAGCAAUACAUCACCGGCGGACGGGUGCGUAACACGUGGGAAUAUACCUUUUGGUUCGGAACAACUGAGGGAAACUUCAGCUAAUACCGAAUGUGUCCUUACGGAGAAAGAUUUAUCGCCAAAGGAUUAGCCCGCGUUCGAUUAGCUAGUUGGUGAGGUAACGGCUCACCAAGGCGACGACGGGUAGCC
Molecule: ribosomal RNA, 236 nt
Filed under: uncultured bacterium
Lineage: Bacteria
Description: partial small subunit ribosomal RNA
Rfam family: Bacterial small subunit ribosomal RNA
Source: RNAcentral